UUUUUUGGUCUUAUAGUUUUAUAUUUCCAUUGUUGUUCAAACAGAUUUCCCGAGGGUGAAACGAGAGCUCGCUGCUUUGCUUUCUGCCUUAUUUUCUAGAACUCUUUAGGGGCCACUUGAAUUUAAUUGCAUGUGAGCAGUGAGAAGCAGAAAGCACGGCUGAUUUUUUUUUUUUGGGGGGGGGGAUGUCAUAAGCCUGGGUUGCACAGCCCCUGUUUUAAAUCAGUCCUCCCCAUCCAGGUCUGUGCUGUUGCUUUCUUCCUCACAGAGAUGCUUUUUCUUGCUGAUCCUUCAAACUUUCCCAGGUUAUUUGCGACCACCGCCACGCCAGCCAUGAUCUGACUUUUCUAGUAUGUGUUUAAGGAACUAACCCAUUUAUUCAAUGAAGGCCGAAGGAAUGUAGCAGAGAGAACAGAGUGUUCCAGGUGAAAGGCAGAGCCUCAGGCAGUAAUCCUUGGUGUGAGAACAGGGAUGCGAGAAAUAUAAGCCCUCUUUUCAUCUGUAAAAUGCUAGACGUUAUUAAGGGAGAAAUCCUGCAGCAAGAUCUGCUAGGGUGACUGGGUUAGGAUGCAGCAGAUCUCCAGCUGACCUGGGACCCAGUGGAUCGCCCCCAUCCUGGCUCAGCUGGGACCCAGCUUGAUGAGGCAAGCCUAAACUAGCAUAAGGCACUGGAAAGGGGCUUGUACAUUAUGGAUUGGGGGGGUCAGCUACCUCACCCCUUGCCCUUGGAGGCCUUUCAAGAGGCCGGAGGAGAAGGAUUCUGAGCAACAUCAUGGGAGGAGUGUUUCUAGGACUAAGCUCCAGCAUCACGAUAAAGAGGCGGAGGAUUCCCCCAGCAAGUGGAGAUCUGACGAUGAAAUGGCCGUGGAAGCAGCAAGCCUCGAGAAGUAUUUUAAGUGAAAACAUGAGGCAACAAAGCACCUUUGGCGAAGUCUGGCUGGGGCAGAAGACAAUGGAGGAAACCAGAGGCCCUCCCUGCAAACCACCAAUCUUUCCUGGACCUAAAGCUCAAGAGAUGUCAAUAUAUUCUGCAGAGAUGCUGGAUUCUUCCACAGGAUGCUUUAUGAACCUCACCAAAGGGUUGUUUCGGCAAAGAUGCUUGAUAGUUUGCAUAUCGCACAGAAUGUAUUGAAGCUGUUGCUUUAAUUUUCUAUGAAAAUAAAAACAAAUAAAGCAUUAAUAAAAUAAAUA
RNAcentral lists this long non-coding RNA (1191 nucleotides) under Podarcis muralis (Common wall lizard). RNAcentral's name for it is "lncRNA (ENSPMRG00000013578.1)". The record is from RNAcentral. Lineage: Eukaryota; Metazoa; Chordata; Lepidosauria; Squamata; Lacertidae.